UCUCUUUUCUCUCCAGCCAGCGCACUUCCUUCUCACUCAAAGAAGUUUCUCUUCUUCAUGUAUUCUCUCAUUUCCUUCAACCACCACGUCCUUAGUCAUAUGAUUCUCUAUUCUUUAGCUACCUCUUCCCCACCUUCCCUUGACGAAAAUUCUUGCAUAAUUCAUAAUUAGAAGAAUUUCCUCCCAAGGAGAAGCAAGACGACAACGAGAAGAAAAAAGAGUGGGUAUGGUCAAGAAAAAGACAAAUUAUGAUUUUAGUGGAAAAUAGAAAGUAAAGAGUGAAGUGACGCGACACGUGGUACGAGACUCCACAGCGAGCCACGUAAGGGGGGACAAAGAAGAGAAGGUAUGGACAAUGGUUUCCGCGGUCGAGCCACGCUUUCAGAAUUCUGAUUGGCACUGGGUUAUCUUGUGGAACCCAUCUGAAAGAUAUUUUUGGUUGUCGUACGGAUUUGUUUAUUUCGGGUUUGUUGAAUUAGUUUGUUUCGGUUUUAUACACUAUUUUAGGAAACUUUUUUUUAUAUUCUUUAUAGUGAACUGGG
This is an RNA transcript of Arabidopsis thaliana (thale cress), 542 nucleotides long. RefSeq lists it as uncharacterized. The record is from RefSeq. The transcript has 2 exons. Lineage: Eukaryota; Viridiplantae; Streptophyta; Magnoliopsida; Brassicales; Brassicaceae.